GGGGGUUACAUUGACUCAUGCAUAAUAUAUUACUGCUUGACUUCGUUAAUAUAUCGUUAAAAGAUGAAAUACAUCAAUGCUUAUAACUGCGGGGUUUUUUGCAAGCGUGAAAAAGACUAUGGCACAUGGGGUAAUAGUCAUAAUAAGAUACACAAAUGGUGUACCAUACAGUACAGAAGCCUCCACAAUCUUGUAAAAAUGAAGCCAAGCAUGCGAAAGUAGAAACAGA
This is a non-coding RNA of Paramuricea clavata, 229 nucleotides long. NCBI's taxonomy places the organism in Eukaryota, Metazoa, Cnidaria, Anthozoa, Malacalcyonacea, Plexauridae. The record is from the annotation of a GenBank genome assembly.